AUUGAACGCUGGCGGCAGGCCUAACACAUGCAAGUCGAACGGUAGCGCAGAGAGCUUGCUCUCGGGUGACGAGUGGCGGACGGGUGAGUAAUGUCUGGGAAACUGCCCGAUGGAGGGGGAUAACUACUGGAAACGGUAGCUAAUACCGCAUAACGUCGCAAGACCAAAGAGGGGGGACCUUCGGGUCCGUCUUGCCAUCGGAUGUGCCCAGAUGGGAUUAGCUUGUAGG
Molecule: ribosomal RNA, 229 nt
Filed under: uncultured bacterium
Lineage: Bacteria
Description: partial 16S ribosomal RNA
Rfam family: Bacterial small subunit ribosomal RNA
Source: RNAcentral